Non-coding RNA from Gossypium raimondii (Peruvian cotton), 112 nucleotides. The record is from Rfam. Lineage: Eukaryota; Viridiplantae; Streptophyta; Magnoliopsida; Malvales; Malvaceae.
CAGCCAUGCUUGUAGUAUGUGGUGUGGACACUUCCUUCUUGAAGCGUUUCCAUGCAUCGUAUUGAGACUCCCCUUCAUAUUGUUUAAAAUUGGAGAUUUCUUGCCUGAGCUG